RNAcentral lists this ribosomal RNA (404 nucleotides) under Bacillus subtilis. Its description in RNAcentral is "bacterial SSU rRNA". It matches the Rfam family "Bacterial small subunit ribosomal RNA", at positions 986 to 1393 of the family's 1533-position model. Lineage: Bacteria; Bacillati; Bacillota; Bacilli; Caryophanales; Bacillaceae. The record is from RNAcentral.
GAUCGUUGCAUCCUAGAGAUAGGACGUCCCCUUCGGGGGCAGAGUGACAGGUGGUGCAUGGUUGUCGUCAGCUCGUGUCGUGAGAUGUUGGGUUAAGUCCCGCAACGAGCGCAACCCUUGAUCUUAGUUGCCAGCAUUCAGUUGGGCACUCUAAGGUGACUGCCGGUGACAAACCGGAGGAAGGUGGGGAUGACGUCAAAUCAUCAUGCCCCUUAUGACCUGGGCUACACACGUGCUACAAUGGACAGAACAAAGGGCAGCGAAACCGCGAGGUUAAGCCAAUCCCACAAAUCUGUUCUCAGUUCGGAUCGCAGUCUGCAACUCGACUGCGUGAAGCUGGAAUCGCUAGUAAUCGCGGAUCAGCAUGCCGCGGUGAAUACGUUCCCGGGUCUUGUACACACCGA